GAUGGACAUCACUCCCCCCCCCCCAGUACCUGGCUUUACUUAGAUUCAUUGAAAAGAUACUGAGUUAUAAAUCCACUUCCGUGACCUAUACCUCAAGAUGGUAUUUCAACGACACAUAACUAAAUACUGUAAUAACCUACUGUUGUACUCUGAAUACUAUUUCACUAUUGCACCGACACCUAUAUUGUCUAAACUCUUCAAUAAACAUUACAACAACAAAAAAAUCAGAUCGGCCAAAUAUGGGUGUGAGAAAGACUAUGCUGAAUCUUUUUGUGUCCAAUAAAAAUCUGCACUUGAUAUAACCUUGUGUUUCCAGUCCAUUCAUCUUAUUUCAUCAGAUAUGGGAACGCAGUAUGGUAUGGCAGAGAUGUUAAUUUUGAAAGCACACAUGUUCAGUGUAACCAGAAGGAGAGGACAAGAAUUUUAAAGAUAAAUGUGAAAAAUGUUGAGCAUCAUGAAAGUGACCCUUGAGUGGAGCCAUAAUUACUUGUUUUGUACUCCACAGCAAUGCUUAAAUAACUUCAGUAAAGGAGUCAAAGCUGUGCAAAAUAAGUAAAGAAUUUAU
Pelobates cultripes (western spadefoot toad) is the source of this 565-nucleotide non-coding RNA. The record is from the annotation of a GenBank genome assembly. NCBI's taxonomy places the organism in Eukaryota, Metazoa, Chordata, Amphibia, Anura, Pelobatidae.